Long non-coding RNA from Oreochromis niloticus (Nile tilapia), 3580 nucleotides. NCBI's taxonomy places the organism in Eukaryota, Metazoa, Chordata, Actinopteri, Cichliformes, Cichlidae. The record is from Ensembl.
AUGCUUUUCCUCCCAGCUGCUGCUCUGUGCUGUCUGUGUUCAGCACUGGUUACCAUGGCAGCAGAACAGCUGAUUCAGGAUGAUUUAACAUUGACCAGGAGAGUUGGAGAAAGUGUCUCCUUCAGCUGUGGAGAGAUUAAUAAGUGUGAUGGCAGCUAUGUGUUCUGGUACCAAAAGAAAGAAUAUGAAACAUUCAAAGCUAUUCUUGAUAUUCAUAAAACAAAUGGUAACAUAGAUAACAGUUACAAUCAUCCUCAAAAAGAUGAUUUCUCAGCUCAGAAUAAACAGAACGGCUGUGAGUUGAAGAUCAAAAAAAUUAAACUUGAUCAUUCAGCCACCUACUACUGCUCCUGUGCUAAGUCUGCUCCCCACAGUGAGAAAUGAUCCCUGCAGCCUGAACAAAAACCAACAGAUGAACAGAUGUCAAACAGUGUUUGUGACAGGAAGAGAGCAGUAAACCACAGCCCAGGUUCACAGAUUUCACCUCCAUCUCAGAGUCACAAACAUACUGAGCUCAGGGAGAUUUUUAUUUACUGCUGUCAGAAAUUCAAUUCUAUUUAUUUCUCUUUUGAACAGAUUUUUCAACAUGUUUUAAGAUAGAAACAAGAGGAACAGAUGACAUCAAACUUCCAAAUGUAAACAAAUGUAUCCUCAGUCCCACAAAAACAUUUAUUCAAAGUGAAAGAAAAACAGAUUGUGUCAAACUGAAUCAAAGUCCAUCCCUCAUUCACAGUGUUAAUGUUCUCUUCAUGAAAACUCUUCCAGCAGCACUUGUUGUUUAACACCUUUCAGUACAUUUAACCAGACACUUUCACUUUAGGACAUUUUAAAGACAAAUCUUGGACUGAUGUCAGUUCAGGAUUUUGUCCAUCUAGCAGCGGCUCAUUUUGUUGGACAGAUUUCCAUCAGUUUCCUGUGGAUUUUUAUAAAAGAUGAAUCAGUCAUGGUGCCUCAUCUUUCAAUCACUUGUUUUCUCUCUGAAGUAAAUAAACUGAUUUUGUAUUUGAAUAUGAUGAAUCUGGAAUCACAGGACAAGAUUUCUGCUCUGUGUGUGUGUUUUCUGACCAAUCACACUCGAGCAGCUUUGGCAGAUUAAUUUUCAUCUUCAGCAUUAAUGCUUACAAAAAUUGAGGCUGACUGGACUAAACACACAGAUAUACCAGCAGAAAAAGCGAUUCCAUGUAAAACACUCUAUUAAAUCAGAAUCAGAAUCAGAAUCAUGUUUAUUGGCCAAGUAUAUGUGCAGACAAAUACAAGGAAUUUGGUUCCGGUAGAUGGUGGCUCUCAAGCACAGCAAUGUAAAACACACACACUCACACUCACACACACACAUGUCUAUAUACACAUUACACAUACAUACACAAAGCUGUAUAAACCAACUAUAAAUAACUAAUCUAAACUUAUAUACAUAAAAUACAGAAAUGAAAUGAGGUGGAAUGAAUACUACAGAAUGUACAUAAGGUGCAGUUGCAGUCUGGCAGUGGGAGCAGUGUGACAGGUCAACUGUUUAGAAGGGAGAUGGCGAGGGGAAAGAAACUGUUCCUGUGUCGGGUGGUCCUGGUCUGCAGGCUUCUGUACCAUCUGCCAGAGGGCAGCAGGUCAAAAAGUCUGUGUCCAGGGUGUGAGGGGUCUGUGAUGAUUUUCCCUCCCCGUUUCCUGGUUCUUGAGAGGUACAGAUCCUGGAUGGAGGGCAGGGGGGCGCCGAUGAUCCUUUCUGCUGCCCGUACAGUCCGCUGCAGUCUGCUCCUGUCCUGUUUAGUGGCUGCACCAUACCAGACUGUGAUGGAGGAGCACAGGACAGACUCAAUGACUGCAGUGUAGAACUGGAUUAGCAGCUCCUGUGGAAGACUGUACUUCCCCAGUUGUCUCAGGAAGUACAUCCUCUGCUGGGUCUUUUUGAGGAUCGAGUUGAUGUUGGUCUCCCACUUCAGGUCCUGGGAGAUGGUGGUACCCAGGAACUUGAAGAUCUUCACAGUCGACACAGGGCUGUCUGAUAUGAUGAGGGGGGGCAGAGUUGAGGGAUGUCUCCUGAAGUCCACUGUCAUCUCUACAGUUUUAAGAGUGUUCAGCUCCAGAUUGUGCUGACUGCACCAGAGUACCAGCCGCUCAACUUCCUGCCGGUAUGCAGACUCAUCACCAUCCUGAAUGAGGCCAAUGACGGUCGUGUCAUCUGCAAACUUUAGGAGUUUAACAGCCGAGUUCUUGGAGGUGCAGUCAUUAGUGUAGAGGGAGAACAGUAGUGGUGAGAGGACACAUCCUUGAGGGGCACCAGUACUGAGGGACCGAGUUUCAGAGGUGAUCUCCCCCAGCCUCACUUGUUGCUUUCUGUCUGUCAGGAAGCUGGUGAUCCACUAACAGGUAGCUGGUGACACGCUGAGCUGGGAGAGUUUGGAAGAGAGAAGUUCAGGCACGAUGGAAUUAAAAGCCAAACUAAAGUCCACAAACAGGACCCUGGCAUAAGUUCCCGGGCGGUCGAGGUGUUGCAGGAUGUAAUGCAGCCCCAUAUUCACUGCAUCAUCCACCGACCUGUUUGCCCGGUAGGCAAACUGCAGAGGGUCCAGCUGGUGGCCUGUAAUGUCCUUCAGAUGGGCUAACACCAGUCAUUCAAAGGAUUUCAUGACCACAGACGUCAAGGCGACAGGUCUGUAGUCAUUCAGUCCUGUGAUGGUGGGUUUCUUGGGAACAGGGAUGAUGGUGGAGCGUUUGAAGCAGGAUGGAACUUCACACAGCUCCAGGGAUCUGUUGAAGAUGCGAGUGAAGAUGGGAGCCUCACGGCUCACAUCCUCAGUGUGUAUUCUGAGUUUCAGGGAGGAGGAAAGGGGGGUGGGAGGUGUGAUGGAGGUCGUUGAGUCUGGAAUGGGGAGGGUGGUGGUGAUCGUUGGGUCUGGAUUGGGGAGGGUGGGGGUGGUCGUUGAGACUGGAUUGGCGAGGGUGAGGGUGAAGGGGGGAGGUUGGGGGUGGUCGUUGAGACUGGAUUGGAGAGGGUGAGGGUGAAGGGGGAGAGGUGUGUUGGGGGUCAGUGUCUGAAGCAGUGUCUCUGGGGAGGGGAGGGUGAGGCGUGGGAGUCUGUCCGUCUCAAACCUGCAGUAGAAAGUGUUUAGCUCGUUGGCCAGGUCUUGUUUGCUUCAAUAGUGGGUGGGGGGCGUCUGUAGCUGGUGAUUUCCUGCGGGCCCCUCCACACUGACGCAGGGUCGUUGGCUGAGAGCCGUUCUUCCAGCUUCUGGGAGUAGAUCCUUUUAGCUGCUUUGAUCUCCUUGGUCAGUGUGUUCCUGGCCUGCUUGUACAGGGCCCUGUCACCACUUCUGUAGGCGUCCUCCUUGGCCUUACGAAGAUGUUGGAGUUUAGGAGUGAACCAUGGUUUAUUGUUGUUGUAUGUGCAAAAGGUCUUUGUUGGCACACACACGUCUUCGCAAAAACUGAUGUAUGAUGUCACAGUGUCUGUUAGCUCAUCCAGGUUAUCAGAUGCAGCUUCAAAAACAGUCCAAUCAGUGCAGUCAAAACAGUCCUGCAGUUCCUGCUUUGCUGCGUUAGUCCACUUCUUCACAGUUUUGACUACAGGCUUGGCACGUUUGAGUUGUUG